GAUGAACGCUAGCGGCAGGCCUAAUACAUGCAAGUCGAACGGUAAGUUUUCUUUGGAAGACACGAGUGGCGCACGGGUGAGUAACGCGUACGCAAUCUACCUCUAUCAGGGGGAUACACACGGGAAACUGUGGAUAAUCCCGCAUACAAUUCAGACUUGGCAUCAGGUUUGGAUAAAAGUCAAGGCGGAUAGAGAUGAGCGUGCGUCUGAUUAGCUAGUUGGUGAGGUAACGGCUCACCAAGGCGACGAUCAGUAGGGGGCGUGAGAGCGUGAUCCCCCACACGGGUACUGAGACACGGUCCAGACUCCUACGGGAGGCAGCAGUGGGGAAUAUUGGACAAUGGGCGCAAGCCUGAUCCAGCAAUUCCGCGUGGGUGAAGAAGGUCUUCGGAUUGUAAAGCCCUUUCGUUGGGGACGAUGAUGACGGUACCCAAAGAAGAAGCCCCGGCUAACUUCGUG
Molecule: ribosomal RNA, 459 nt
Filed under: uncultured bacterium
Lineage: Bacteria
Description: bacterial SSU rRNA
Rfam family: Bacterial small subunit ribosomal RNA
Source: RNAcentral